CAGACUCCUACGGGAGGCAGCAGUGGGGAAUAUUGCACAAUGGGCGCAAGCCUGAUGCAGCCAUGCCGCGUGUGUGAAGAAGGCCUUAGGGUUGUAAAGCACUUUCAGCAGUGAGGAAAGGGUGUAAGUUAAUACCUUGCACCUGUGACGUUAACUGCAGAAGAAGGACCGGCUAACUCCGUGCCAGCAGCCGCGGUAAUACGGAGGGUCCGAGCGUUAAUCGGAAUUACUGGGCGUAAAGCGCGCGUAGGCGGUUAUUUAAGUCAGAUGUGAAAGCCCCGGGCUCAACCUGGGAACUGCACCUGAUACUGGAUAACUAGAGUACAGAAGAGGGUGGUGGAAUUUCCUGUGUAGCGGUGAAAUGCGUAGAUAUAGGAAGGAACACCAGUGGCGAAGGCGACCACCUGGUCUGAUACUGACGCG
Molecule: ribosomal RNA, 423 nt
Filed under: Amphritea japonica
Lineage: Bacteria; Pseudomonadati; Pseudomonadota; Gammaproteobacteria; Oceanospirillales; Oceanospirillaceae
Description: bacterial SSU rRNA
Rfam family: Bacterial small subunit ribosomal RNA
Source: RNAcentral